RNAcentral lists this long non-coding RNA (205 nucleotides) under Physcomitrium patens. Its description in RNAcentral is "long non-coding RNA (PPAT_LNC010022)". The record is from RNAcentral. Lineage: Eukaryota; Viridiplantae; Streptophyta; Bryopsida; Funariales; Funariaceae.
UUAAAUGAUAUAUUUUUAUUUAUAAAACACAAGUAAAUAUAACAAUAUCAAAAGAUAUUGUAUUAAUAAAAAUCCUUUUAUAUUUAAGAAGCUUUGUAUAUAAGACUUUUUAAAGCAUCUAGAAAUGGCCUAAUAUUCUUUGCUAUACCAAAUCAUAACUAACUAUUUGUCAGUAAGUUAGAUUUCUAAUAAACUCAAAGAAAAU